CGGAGGUCAGGAGUUGACCUGAAUGGAGCAGGGGACCAAGAAAGCCCCAGGGCUAGAGACCUAGAGGUGGGGACUGGGGACUUGAACCCAGGCCCUUGCACAUAGUAACCAGUACACUCAACCAGUUGCACCACUACCUGGUCCCAGGAGAGAAAUAGAGCCAGCUGCAGACCUGCUUCACUGCUCAUGAAGUUUCUCCCUCUGCAGCCACCAGGUUCCAGCCACCAGGUUCCAGAUGUUACCAUGAUGGGCAGAUGACUUCACCAAUGUGUCCUGGAACCCCACCUACCCAGAUCCCUAUCCCACUAGGGAAAGAGAGAGACAGGUUGGGAGUAUGGGUCAACCUGCCUAUGCCCAUGUUCAGCGGGGAAGCAAUUACAGAAGGCAGACCUUCCACCUUCUGCACCUCAUAAUACCCCUGGGUCCAUGCUCCUAGAGGGUUAAAGAAUAGGAAAGCUAUCAGGGGAGGGAAUGGGAUAUGGAAUUCUAAUGGUGGGAAUUGUGUGGAAUUGUACCCCUCUUAUGCUAUGGUCUUGUCAGUGUUUCCAUUUUAUAAAUAAAAAAUAAAAAAAAAAGAAAGAAAAAAAUCUCUUCUCAGUUGCAGCUGACUGCCACAUGAUGGGGAUCUUUCCUGUCAUGGACAUU
Long non-coding RNA from Erinaceus europaeus (western European hedgehog), 645 nucleotides. RefSeq lists it as uncharacterized. Lineage: Eukaryota; Metazoa; Chordata; Mammalia; Eulipotyphla; Erinaceidae. The record is from RefSeq and is a predicted model, not a curated record. The transcript is spliced from 3 exons.